This 280-nucleotide ribosomal RNA is filed under the name uncultured prokaryote. RNAcentral describes it as "partial 16S ribosomal RNA". It matches the Rfam family "Bacterial small subunit ribosomal RNA", at positions 524 to 803 of the family's 1533-position model. The record is from RNAcentral.
UACGUAGGGGCUAGCGUUAUCCGGAAUUACUGGGCGUAAAGGGUGCGUAGGUGGUUUCUUAAGUCAGAGGUGAAAGGCUACGGCUCAACCGUAGUAAGCCUUUGAAACUGGGAAACUUGAGUGCAGGAGAGGAGAGUGGAAUUCCUAGUGUAGCGGUGAAAUGCGUAGAUAUUAGGAGGGACACCAGUUGCGAAGGCGGCUCUCUGGACUGUAACUGACACUGAGGCACGAAAGCGUGGGGAGCAAACAGGAUUAGAUACCCCCGUAGUCCCUGAGCGGG